AAAAAGAAGAAUUUCUAAGUGAAUACGAAAAUAUGAUGUAAUAGGGGAUUAUACCUGAGGAGUUCGACGGAAGGCCGUGCGGAUCUCGUUCAGGCGUUGUGCAGCGAGGCGACCAAACAUUUUUGGUCUCCGGCGAUUAUCCGGGCAGACGGAGGUCGGAGAAAAUGGAGAUUUUGGGGCAGUGAGGAAAAUGGAGAAAUUUGAAGUCUCACUGAACAUUUUUGGUCUCCGGCAAUUAUCCGAGCAGACGGAGGUCGGAGAAAAUGGAGAUUUUGGAGCAGCGAGGAAAAUGGAGAAAUCCGAAGUCUCACUAUGAAGGUUUUGCGUGCCUCACACACGUCCCUUGUUCGCG
This 352-nucleotide long non-coding RNA is filed under the name Nicotiana benthamiana. RNAcentral's name for it is "long non-coding RNA (NBEN_LNC041816)". The record is from RNAcentral. Lineage: Eukaryota; Viridiplantae; Streptophyta; Magnoliopsida; Solanales; Solanaceae.